RNAcentral lists this ribosomal RNA (211 nucleotides) under uncultured bacterium. Its description in RNAcentral is "partial 16S ribosomal RNA". It matches the Rfam family "Bacterial small subunit ribosomal RNA", at positions 524 to 732 of the family's 1533-position model. The record is from RNAcentral.
UACGAAGGGGGCGAGCGUUUGUUCGGAUUUACUGGGCGUAAAGGGCGCGCAGGCGGUUCUGUUUGUCGAGUGUGAAAGCCCCGGGCUCAACCUGGGAACUGCGCUCGAAACGGCGGAACUAGAGUUCGGGAGAGGAGAGUGGAAUUCCCAGUGUAGAGGUGAAAUUCGUAGAUAUUGGGAAAGAACACCGGUGGCGAAGGCGGCUCUCUGG